Molecule: ribosomal RNA, 301 nt
Filed under: uncultured bacterium
Lineage: Bacteria
Description: partial 16S ribosomal RNA
Rfam family: Bacterial small subunit ribosomal RNA
Source: RNAcentral
CAGCAGCCGCGGUAAUACGAAGGGUGCAAGCGUUAAUCGGAAUUACUGGGCGUAAAGCGUGCGCAGGCGGUUUGUUAAGACAGAUGUGAAAUCCCCGGGCUCAACCUGGGAACUGCAUUUGUGACUGGCAAGCUAGAGUGUGGCAGAGGGGGGUGGAAUUCCGCGUGUAGCAGUGAAAUGCGUAGAUAUGCGGAGGAACACCGAUGGCGAAGGCAGCCCCCUGGGCCAACACUGACGCUCAUGCACGAAAGCGUGGGGAGCAAACAGGAUUAGAUACCCCCGUAGUCCCUGUCUCUUAUAC